RNAcentral lists this long non-coding RNA (201 nucleotides) under Vigna radiata. RNAcentral describes it as "long non-coding RNA (VRAD_LNC017372)". The record is from RNAcentral. Lineage: Eukaryota; Viridiplantae; Streptophyta; Magnoliopsida; Fabales; Fabaceae.
UGUGCUGUGAAUGUUUUUGCAAAGAAAGUUUUUCAAAACUGCAUUUAAGUGUUAUAAAUUCGACUGUAUGCACAAGCUACUCGACCUAGUUAGUUAUGUUUUGAAAUUCGGUUAAUGCUUGUGAUGUUUAAUGAUUAUAUUUUAUAUCUUUGACCAAGCAUUGAUUGUGAGUCAACUGCAUUAAAUGCAUAAUCAAUUAAG